CCUACGGGGGGCAGCAGUGGGGAAUAUUGGGCAAUGGGCGCAAGCCUGACCCAGCAACGCCGCGUGAAGGAAGAAGGCUUUCGGGUUGUAAACUUCUUUUAAGGGGGAAGAGCAGAAGACGGUACCCCUUGAAUAAGCCACGGCUAAAUACGUGCCAGCAGCCGCGGUAAUACGUAGGUGGCAAGCGUUGUCCGGAUUUACUGGGUGUAAAGGGCGUGCAGCAGGGGAGACAAGUCAGAUGUGAAAUCCACGGGCUCAACCCGUGAACUGCAUUUGAAACUGUUUCCCUUGAGUGUCGGAGAGGUAAUCGGAAUUCCUUGUGUAGCGGUGAAAUGCGUAGAUAUAAGGAAGAACACCAGUGGCGAAGGCGGAUUACUGGACGAUAACUGACGGUGAGGCGCGAAAGCGUGGGGAGCAAACAGGAUUAGAUACCCCAGUAGUC
This 442-nucleotide ribosomal RNA is filed under the name uncultured bacterium. Its description in RNAcentral is "partial 16S ribosomal RNA". It matches the Rfam family "Bacterial small subunit ribosomal RNA", at positions 338 to 795 of the family's 1533-position model. The record is from RNAcentral.